This 21-nucleotide non-coding RNA is filed under the name Capra hircus (goat). Its record names the gene chi-miR-125a-3p. RNAcentral also lists the same sequence under 2 other names. The record is from miRBase by way of RNAcentral. Lineage: Eukaryota; Metazoa; Chordata; Mammalia; Artiodactyla; Bovidae.
ACAGGUGAGGUUCUUGGGAGC